CUGCUCAGGAUGAACGCUGGCGGCGUGCCUAAUACAUGCAAGUCGAGCGAACGGACGAGAAGCUUGCUUCUCUGAUGUUAGCGGCGGACGGGUGAGUAACACGUGGAUAACCUACCUAUAAGACUGGGAUAACUUCGGGAAACCGGAGCUAAUACCGGAUAAUAUUUUGAACCGCAUGGUUCAAAAGUGAAAGACGGUCUUGCUGUCACUUAUAGAUGGAUCCGCGCUGCAUUAGCUAGUUGGUAAGGUAACGGCUUACCAAGGCAACGAUGCAUAGCCGACCUGAGAGGGUGAUCGGCCACACUGGAACUGAGACACGGUCCAGACUCCUACGGGAGGCAGCAGUAGGGAAUCUUCCGCAAUGGGCGAAAGCCUGACGGAGCAACGCCGCGUGAGUGAUGAAGGUCUUCGGAUCGUAAAACUCUGUUAUUAGGGAAGAACAUAUGUGUAAGUAACUGUGCACAUCUUGACGGUACCUAAUCAGAAAGCCACGGCUAACUACGUGCCAGCAGCCGCGGUAAUACGUAGGUGGCAAGCGUUAUCCGGAAUUAUUGGGCGUAAAGCGCGCGUAGGCGGUUUUUUAAGUCUGAUGUGAAAGCCCACGGCUCAACCGUGGAGGGUCAUUGGAAACUGGAAAACUUGAGUGCAGAAGAGGAAAGUGGAAUUCCAUGUGUAGCGGUGAAAUGCGCAGAGAUAUGGAGGAACACCAGUGGCGAAGGCGACUUUCUGGUCUGUAACUGACGCUGACAU
This 750-nucleotide ribosomal RNA is filed under the name Staphylococcus aureus. RNAcentral describes it as "bacterial SSU rRNA". It matches the Rfam family "Bacterial small subunit ribosomal RNA", at positions 20 to 752 of the family's 1533-position model. The record is from RNAcentral. Lineage: Bacteria; Bacillati; Bacillota; Bacilli; Caryophanales; Staphylococcaceae.